Molecule: ribosomal RNA, 498 nt
Filed under: uncultured bacterium
Lineage: Bacteria
Description: partial 16S ribosomal RNA
Rfam family: Bacterial small subunit ribosomal RNA
Source: RNAcentral
AUUGAACGCUGGCGGCAUGCCUUACACAUGCAAGUCGAACGGUAACAGGUCUUCGGAUGCUGAUGAGUGGCGAACGGGUGGGUAAUACAUCGGAACGUGCCUGGUAGUGGGGGAUAACUACUCGAAAGAGUGGCUAAUACCGCAUGAGAUCUACGGAUGAAAGCAGGGGAUCGCAAGACCUUGUGCUACUAGAGCGGCCGAUGGCAGAUUAGGUAGUUGGUGGGAUAAAAGCUUACCAAGCCGACGAUCUGUAGCUGGUCUGAGAGGACGAUCAGCCACACGGGGACUGAGACACGGCCCAGACUCCUACGGGAGGCAGCAGUGGAGAAUUUUGGACAAUGGGCGCAAGCCUGAUCCAGCAAUGCCGCGUGCAGGAUGAAGGCCUUCGGGUUGUAAACUGCUUUUGUACGGAACGAAAAGCCCCGGGUUAAUACCCUGGGGUCAUGACGGUACCGUAAGAAUAAGCACCGGCUAACUACGUGCCAGCCGCCGCAGUAA